This is a non-coding RNA of Caenorhabditis elegans, 143 nucleotides long. NCBI's taxonomy places the organism in Eukaryota, Metazoa, Nematoda, Chromadorea, Rhabditida, Rhabditidae. The record is from Ensembl.
UCGAUUCGCCUGUCUUUCUCUUCUCACUCUUCUCGCCUCCCUUCAGAAUAUGACCAUACAUGCACUGUUGACGUUCUAAUUGAACAAGCAGAGUGCAUGUGCAACCAAGAGAACGCAGAGAAACAUGCGACUAAUGUGUCCUC